RNAcentral lists this transfer RNA (84 nucleotides) under Phaeocystidibacter marisrubri. It matches the Rfam family "tRNA". Rfam says of the family: Transfer RNA (tRNA) molecules are approximately 80 nucleotides in length. Their secondary structure includes four short double-helical elements and three loops (D, anti-codon, and T loops). Further hydrogen bonds mediate the characteristic L-shaped molecular structure. tRNAs have two regions of fundamental functional importance: the anti-codon, which is responsible for specific mRNA codon recognition, and the 3' end, to which the tRNAs corresponding amino acid is attached (by aminoacyl-tRNA synthetases). tRNAs cope with the degeneracy of the genetic code in two manners: having more than one tRNA (with a specific anti-codon) for a particular amino acid; and 'wobble' base-pairing, i.e. permitting non-standard base-pairing at the 3rd anti-codon position. RNAcentral also lists the same sequence under 1 other name. The record is from Rfam by way of RNAcentral. Lineage: Bacteria; Pseudomonadati; Bacteroidota; Flavobacteriia; Flavobacteriales; Phaeocystidibacteraceae.
GCCCGGGUGGUGAAAUUGGUAGACACGCCAUCUUGAGGGGGUGGUGACCUUAUGGUCGUGCUGGUUCGAAUCCAGUUCCGGGCA